ACUCUUAUAUAUAUUAAUUACUGAAUACAAGUUACAAGGUAGAAUACGCACAAUAAAGUAAUAAUACACUAAUUACGGAUAACUUAACAUAGAUGAAGGUAACUAGAAGGGGAUGAGAUACUAGACCAUAGAAAGGAGAUGAGAGGAUCAGAAAGCCAAAGCUUCACAUAAAUUUCAUGCCCCUUCUUCCAACUUCUAGUCCUUUUUAAUAGAGAUACUAAUUGGGCCUGGAUCCCCAAAUAAAAGUAUCUAAUAGCCCAUAGGCCCUUACCAAGUCACGUCGAGUUCACAACAAUACUCCCGCCCUCAAAAAGAACCUUGUCCUCAAGGUUCAAGUCAUGAAAUUCAUCCAAAAACUCUCUAAAUUAUCUGACGAGUAACAAUUUCCACACACUUCAAUGUCACAAGUGUAAAGUGAAACAACAUUCCUCCAUCCAGCAAUGAACUAGGCCAGAUAAAAUGAUCUAGAUGUUCUGAUGUGAGGUGUAACUUUAUGUUGUCUUUGGAGAGUAUUAAGGAAAUUGACAUUACUCCCGUUGCCUCUUGAACAUAUUGUCCAGCUUUAACUAGAACAAUAACCCCUCCACAAUGGCAAAUGUCACUGCAACAUACUCCUCUAAGGUGAUGUUUGUAGGAUAAUGCCUUUGGCCGAUCCAGUGACAUAAGAGAAGUAAACUCAUUACUUUCAGCUGCCACAGAACUACUCCAGCAAUCUGGUAGAUUCUCGUCCAGUUAACAGUACCACCCCUAGAUGAAUCAUAUAAACAACAUCCAUGUUAUAUGUCACAACAAAAUGUAUAAAGAAUCUCACACAACAGCUAUUGAUAUAUUCCUCCAUGCUAUUCCCAUUUCGCAAUAGCUUGUUAUCUUGUGGUUGGUGUCGGUGUACUGAAUGCACAACCAUUCCUGCCUCCAAUAGUGCAAUUCGAGCAUUCCCGACAAUGGUAGAAUCAAUUGCAGAAAUAACAUCUACAAGAAAAUAAAUAUUAGUGAAGGAGGGAAAUGCUUUAUCCACCUCUUCGUCUGUGUCCUUCAAUACAAAUUCCUUAAAAAUAACAGUCCAACUAAAAUUGGGAUCUCCAAUUAAUGGUCUUGCAACCUUGUGUCCACAACCAAUCACACAAGACCACCGAAGAGUGUCGUCGAACAUCCUUGUUGUACUAAUUCUGAAAUGUUUAACAGUUCCCUCGUCCAUUGAAAACAUUCCCAAGUCAUCAAGGAGCUCACAAUCACUGUACUCUGGUCCAACAACUACCAGCUUCCAAUACUUCACUGCGGUGAUUGCUUUCACGAGCUUAACAUCAUCAACAGCUUCGCGUAGGAAGGACGUGUUCAUGGAAUGAUCAUUGUGCACAUCGAAAGCACGCAACGACAAACUAGUGGUACAAACAUGUUGUCCACUUUCUCGACUUGAUUGAUCAUGACCAUACUGAGGCAGUUCAGAGAGAACUUUGUUUGGAAUUGAAAUUGCUUCAUCAUUAGUAGUGUUAUUAUACAAAUCUGGAUCUGUCACCAUUUGAUCAUACCCACUAAGCACUGAAGAAACUAUUAGUGAUGGCCUAUUGUCCAUUUCUUCAGAAGUGUCAUUAUUUUCUUCAACAGAGGUAGUGUCCGAAGAAUCUACAUCAUUACUCUUCUUGGGAAUUUUAUCGAACAUGUGGUCUACCUCAGAAUUUUUAGCAAAGAGAUUGUGUUGAUAAGACUGAGGCGAGGAUGAGUUAGUAAUAUUACCCCACAAUGGAAUAACCUUUUGAUAGUAAUCCACUAUCCUAUCAUUCUUGUUCUUGGGAAUGGGUAAGAACCCGCGAGAUGUGUCUCUAGUACGGGAGCCAAAACGAAUCAUCAAUUUGUCCACAAAAUGGUCCCAACCAGCGAGUUGAUUGUUGCGAAAUAACCAUCCAUACCAUUCCAAAGCCUCACCAUCAAAAUAGAACGAAGCCACAUUAAGCUUCUGAUCUUCCUCAAUUUUAUAGCAAUUAAAAUAAUGCUCUGCUUGAACUAUCCAAGCGUCCGGAUUCUCACCUCGAAACUGCCCCAAUUUGACGUCCAUAACUAUGUUUUUGGGUUCAAAAGAGGUCGUAUCCUUUUCCCCCAAAACCUCCCGCAACAUCGAACGACAUUCAGCGAGAUCUUUAGAGAUUGAAUCCUUCAUUUCUUGUAUUGCAUCCCGAAUUGAAUCACCAACGAAAGCCUUGAGUACUUUUUGGUCCUCCAUUAGAGAGACCUCUAGAUGAAAGCACCAAUGUAACAAACUCAAUUCCAACAGAAGCACUCUUAUAUAUAUUAAUUACUGAAUACAAGUUACAAGGUAGAAUACGCACAAUAAAGUAAUAAUACACUAAUUACGGAUAACUUAACAUAGAUGAAGGUAACUAGAAGGGGAUGAGAUACUAGACCAUAGAAAGGAGAUGAGAGGAUCAGAAAGCCAAAGCUUCACAUAAAUUUCAUGCCCCUUCUUCCAACUUCUAGUCCUUUUUAAUAGAGA
RNAcentral lists this long non-coding RNA (2485 nucleotides) under Solanum tuberosum (potato). Its description in RNAcentral is "long non-coding RNA (STUB_LNC005754)". Lineage: Eukaryota; Viridiplantae; Streptophyta; Magnoliopsida; Solanales; Solanaceae. The record is from RNAcentral.